Molecule: transfer RNA, 76 nt
Filed under: Bacteroides thetaiotaomicron
Lineage: Bacteria; Pseudomonadati; Bacteroidota; Bacteroidia; Bacteroidales; Bacteroidaceae
Also listed under: 20 other names
Description: tRNA-Phe
Rfam family: tRNA
About the family: Transfer RNA (tRNA) molecules are approximately 80 nucleotides in length. Their secondary structure includes four short double-helical elements and three loops (D, anti-codon, and T loops). Further hydrogen bonds mediate the characteristic L-shaped molecular structure. tRNAs have two regions of fundamental functional importance: the anti-codon, which is responsible for specific mRNA codon recognition, and the 3' end, to which the tRNAs corresponding amino acid is attached (by aminoacyl-tRNA synthetases). tRNAs cope with the degeneracy of the genetic code in two manners: having more than one tRNA (with a specific anti-codon) for a particular amino acid; and 'wobble' base-pairing, i.e. permitting non-standard base-pairing at the 3rd anti-codon position.
Source: RNAcentral
GGUGCCAUAGCUCAGUUGGUAGAGCAAAGGACUGAAAAUCCUUGUGUCCCCGGUUCGAUUCCUGGUGGCACCACGA